Non-coding RNA from Camponotus floridanus (Florida carpenter ant), 45 nucleotides. Lineage: Eukaryota; Metazoa; Arthropoda; Insecta; Hymenoptera; Formicidae. The record is from Rfam.
AUUAAGGCCUUUUUUAAGGCCAUCCUUUUAAAUUAUCUUAUUUUG